GAAGGAUGAGAAGCUUCGACUAAGGUUCGACUCGAGCGCCAGCGAGAGAGCGUUGCCGCAGGCAACGACCCGAAGGGCGAAGCGCGCAGCGCUGAGUAAUCCUUCCCCCACCACCA
Molecule: small RNA, 116 nt
Filed under: Escherichia coli
Lineage: Bacteria; Pseudomonadati; Pseudomonadota; Gammaproteobacteria; Enterobacterales; Enterobacteriaceae
Description: partial RtT sRNA
Rfam family: RtT RNA
About the family: This family represents a bacterial cis-regulatory element known as RtT RNA. The exact function of RtT is unknown although it is thought that it may be involved in changing the cellular response in relation to amino acid starvation.
Source: RNAcentral